RNAcentral lists this ribosomal RNA (404 nucleotides) under Actinomycetes bacterium. RNAcentral's name for it is "Actinobacteria bacterium partial 16S ribosomal RNA". It matches the Rfam family "Bacterial small subunit ribosomal RNA", at positions 355 to 776 of the family's 1533-position model. The record is from RNAcentral. Lineage: Bacteria; Bacillati; Actinomycetota; Actinomycetes.
UGGGGAAUAUUGGACAAUGGGCGCAAGCCUGAUCCAGCCAUGCCGCGUGAGUGAUGUAGGCCCUAGGGUUGUAAAGCUCUUUCACCGGUGAAGAUAAUGACGGUAACCGGAGAAGAAGCCCCGGCUAACUUCGUGCCAGCAGCCGCGGUAAUACGAAGGGGGCUAGCGUUGUUCGGAUUUACUGGGCGUAAAGCGCACGUAGGCGGACUAUUAAGUCAGGGGUGAAAUCCCGGGGCUCAACCCCGGAACUGCCUUUGAUACUGGUAGUCUUGAGUUCGAGAGAGGUGAGUGGAAUUCCGAGUGUAGAGGUGAAAUUCGUAGAUAUUCGGAGGAACACCAGUGGCGAAGGCGGCUCACUGGCUCGAUACUGACGCUGAGGUGCGAAAGCGUGGGGAGCAAACAGG